UUCAGUGCAAUACAAUUCGUUUAUCAAAUAUCUCGGAUAUGUCAUUAAGCAUGGCUCGGUGUCUACUUAUGACAUUCCAUAUUAGUUCUCAUAAUUCAUGACUAACCUUAUGAAUUUAGGAAACUAACUUUUAUCAAAUUCAUUAUGCUUUGGCCAAAGACUUUAUACAAGUUAAUCAAGAAUUGAGAACAAGUGAGAUACAUCCCUUCAUAUCACUUGGGGUGAU
Molecule: long non-coding RNA, 226 nt
Filed under: Theobroma cacao (cacao)
Lineage: Eukaryota; Viridiplantae; Streptophyta; Magnoliopsida; Malvales; Malvaceae
Description: long non-coding RNA (TCAC_LNC005635)
Source: RNAcentral